Molecule: ribosomal RNA, 253 nt
Filed under: uncultured bacterium
Lineage: Bacteria
Description: partial 16S ribosomal RNA
Rfam family: Bacterial small subunit ribosomal RNA
Source: RNAcentral
UACGUAGGGGGCUAGCGUUGUCCGGAAUCAUUGGGCGUAAAGAGCGCGUAGGCUGCUCGGUGAGUCCGCUGUAAGAGUCAAAGGCUUAACCUUUGAAUGUCAGUGGAAACUGCCGGGCUAGAGUCCGGAAGAGGCGAGUGGAAUUCCUGGUGUAGCGGUGGAAUGCGCAGAUAUCAGGAGGAACACCAACGGCGAAGGCAGCUCGCUGGGACGGUACUGACGCUGAGGCGCGAAAGCGUGGGGAGCGAACAGG